This 253-nucleotide ribosomal RNA is filed under the name uncultured bacterium. Its description in RNAcentral is "partial 16S ribosomal RNA". It matches the Rfam family "Bacterial small subunit ribosomal RNA", at positions 524 to 776 of the family's 1533-position model. The record is from RNAcentral.
UACGUAGGGUGCGAGCGUUGUCCGGAAUUAUUGGGCGUAAAGAGCUCGUAGGCGGUUUGUCACGUCUGCUGUGAAAUCCCGAGGCUCAACCUCGGGCCUGCAGUGGGUACGGGCAGACUGGAGUGCGGUAGGGGAGAAUGGAAUUCCUGGUGUAGCGGUGAAAUGCGCAGAUAUCAGGAGGAACACCGGUGGCGAAGGCGGGUCCCUGGGCCGAAACUGACGCUGAGGAGCGAAAGCGUGGGGAGCAAACAGG